GACAGGGGAGACACCAUGAUUAAGAUGAUGGUUUUCCUAGGCUGAGACUCACUCCUUGCACAUCGACCUUCCUAUUUCCUCCAGUGCAGGAGACUCCACUGCAUAAUUUGUGGUAGUGGAGGACUGCAUUUAUGCUGUCUCCUG
Molecule: small nuclear RNA, 144 nt
Filed under: Dromaius novaehollandiae (emu)
Lineage: Eukaryota; Metazoa; Chordata; Aves; Casuariiformes; Dromaiidae
Description: U1 spliceosomal RNA (ENSDNVG00000015522.1)
Rfam family: U1 spliceosomal RNA
About the family: U1 is a small nuclear RNA (snRNA) component of the spliceosome (involved in pre-mRNA splicing). Its 5' end forms complementary base pairs with the 5' splice junction, thus defining the 5' donor site of an intron.
Source: RNAcentral